This 466-nucleotide ribosomal RNA is filed under the name uncultured bacterium. RNAcentral's name for it is "partial 16S ribosomal RNA". It matches the Rfam family "Bacterial small subunit ribosomal RNA", at positions 28 to 507 of the family's 1533-position model. The record is from RNAcentral.
GACGAACGCUGGCGGCGCGCCUAACACAUGCAAGUCGAACGAGCGAGAGAGAGCUUGCUUUCUCAAGCGAGUGGCGAACGGGUGAGUAACGCGUGAGGAACCUGCCUCAAAGGGGGGGACAACAGUUGGAAACGACUGCUAAUACCGCAUAAGCCCACGACCCGGCAUCGGGUAGAGGGAAAAGGAGCAAUCCGCUUUGAGAUGGCCUCGCGUCCGAUUAGCUAGUUGGUGAGGUAACGGCCCACCAAGGCGACGAUCGGUAGCCGGACUGAGAGGUUGAACGGCCACAUUGGGACUGAGACACGGCCCAGACUCCUACGGGAGGCAGCAGUGGGGAAUAUUGCACAAUGGGGGAAACCCUGAUGCAGCGACGCCGCGUGGAGGAAGAAGGUCUUCGGAUUGUAAACUCCUGUUGUUGAGGAAGAUAAUGACGGUACUCAACAAGGAAGUGACGGCUAACUACGUG